UGAAUUUUUGAAUUACUUAAAUAUUAUUCUUGCUGCUUUUCAUACCCUCCUCAUACUGGGAAGACCAGUGAACAGUUUGAAUGACAGAGUCAGUAUCCAUAAAAAUGUCACCAGGCUAGAAUGAGAGGCUGACUCUAAUACAAUAGAAUUGAAUAAAGAUAAAUGAAAAUGUCUACCUGGGGAUUCCAAAAUCUACUUUGUAAGUACAGCAUAACAAUAUCAUAGCUAGGAAACUGCUUAUAAAAAAUGGUGGUUUUAAUAGAUUGGAAGUUCAGUGUGAGUCAAUAGUGUGAUCAUCCAGCCAUACUGUCCCAGAUGGGGGAGAUGAUAGUCUAGUUGUACUCUGCCCUGUUCAGACCAUGACUAAAGUGUUCUAUUCAGUUCUUCCUGGCAGAGCCUAGACAGGAGAAAGAGGAUUGAAUUUAGAUUCAGGCUGCCUGGGUUCAAAACUUAGUCUUCCUUCUUACCAAUUAUGUGAUCGGCCAAUGAAGUUGGGCUAGAAAGCCAUUCUAUGUUUAUAACCAUGAUCCUAAAAUAUAAAUUUCAUCAAGAGGAUGACUUCAUGGAAAAGAUGGUACUUGCUCAGGGACUUUAACAAGAAGAGAUAGAAAGGAGGACCCCCUAGAAAUCAUUCUCCAGAUUGCCCCUUGCCUACUUUGGAAUGGCUAGAACAAUGCCUGGUACAUAGUAAUCACUUAAUAAAUGCUUUGCUUGGGGCAGCUAGGUGGCACAUGGAUAAGAGUUCCAGUCCUGGACUUACGAAGACCUAGAUUCGAGCUUUACUUUAGACAGUUCCUAGCUCUGUGACCCUGAGCAAGUCACUUAAUCCCAUUUGCUUAACCCUUGUCACUGAGACAGAAAGUAAGGGUUUUUAAAUAUGCUUUGUUUAUCUAAAAGGAUAACGAUAUAAAGAAAACAGCUUGAAAAGAUUAAGAACUCUGAUUAAAGGAAUGAUCAACUAAGUUUUCAUAAGCCCUUUGAUGAAAUAUGUUACUGUCACGUGACAGAGAGAGCAGUGAAGGACUCAAGGUGGAGAGGCACUCUUCUUUGGACAUGGCCAGUAUGUGGAUUGGUUCUGCUUUAUUAUGCCUCGUUGUCUCAAGUUCCAGAAGAGCAAAUGAAUGAGGAUAUCAAGGUCCAGAGAAGUUCCAUGACUUGCUGAGAAUCACACAGGUACUAUUUGGUGGAUCCAGGAUUUGAACUCUGUCCUUCCCUAAAUCCAAAUGUCCAUUUUCCUCUUUUAAAGCCUAUGCAAUCAGUUUAAAACAAACAC
Monodelphis domestica (gray short-tailed opossum) is the source of this 1273-nucleotide long non-coding RNA. The record is from Ensembl. NCBI's taxonomy places the organism in Eukaryota, Metazoa, Chordata, Mammalia, Didelphimorphia, Didelphidae.